RNAcentral lists this small RNA (22 nucleotides) under Mus musculus (house mouse). RNAcentral's name for it is "oocyte_piRNA1288". The record is from RNAcentral. Lineage: Eukaryota; Metazoa; Chordata; Mammalia; Rodentia; Muridae.
CGGUGCAAUGAGACUAGCCUCG